AGGGGCGUAGCUCAGUUGGUAGAGCGCCGGUCUCCAAAACCGAAGGUCGUGAGUUCGAGUCUCUCCGCCCCUGCCA
RNAcentral lists this transfer RNA (76 nucleotides) under Yoonia ponticola. RNAcentral's name for it is "tRNA-Trp". It matches the Rfam family "tRNA". From Rfam's summary of the family: Transfer RNA (tRNA) molecules are approximately 80 nucleotides in length. Their secondary structure includes four short double-helical elements and three loops (D, anti-codon, and T loops). Lineage: Bacteria; Pseudomonadati; Pseudomonadota; Alphaproteobacteria; Rhodobacterales; Paracoccaceae. The record is from RNAcentral.